RNAcentral lists this ribosomal RNA (417 nucleotides) under uncultured bacterium. RNAcentral describes it as "bacterial SSU rRNA". It matches the Rfam family "Bacterial small subunit ribosomal RNA", at positions 355 to 771 of the family's 1533-position model. The record is from RNAcentral.
UAAGGAAUAUUGCUCAAUGGGAGAAAUCCUGAAGCAGCAACGCCGCGUGGAGGAUGAAGGGUCUAUGACUUGUAAACUCCUGUAAAGAAGGAAAAAAUUCCCAUUUGAUGGGAGAUGAUGGUACUUCUGGAGUAAGCCCCGGCUAACUACGUGCCAGCAGCCGCGGUAAUACGUAGGGGGCAAGCGUUGUCCGGAUUUACUGGGUGUAAAGGGUGCUCAGGCGGAUUUGUAAGUCAGAGGUGAAAUCUUACAGCUUAACUGUGAAACUGCCUUUGAUACUGCAAGCCUAGAGUAUGGAAGAGAGUGAUGGAACAUCUGGUGUAGCAGUGAAAUGCGUAGAUAUCAGAUAGAACACCAAUGGCGAAGGCAGUCACUUGGUCCAUUACUGACGCUAAAGCACGGACGCGUGGGUAGCAA